UACGGGGGGGGCAAGCGUUGUUCGGAAUUACGGGGCGUAAAGGGUCUGUAGGUGGCCAACUAAGUCAGACGUGAAAUCCCUCAGCUUAACUGGGGAACUGCGUCUGAUACUGGUUGGCUUGAGUGCAGGAGAGGAAUGCGGAAUUCCAGGUGUAGCGGUGAAAUGCGUAGAUAUCUGGAGGAACACCGGUGGCGAAGGCGGCAUUCUGGACUGCAACUGACACUGAAAGACGAAAGCCAGGGGAGCAAACGGG
This 253-nucleotide ribosomal RNA is filed under the name uncultured bacterium. RNAcentral's name for it is "partial 16S ribosomal RNA". It matches the Rfam family "Bacterial small subunit ribosomal RNA", at positions 524 to 776 of the family's 1533-position model. The record is from RNAcentral.